GCUGUGUGUGAUGGCACAUGCCUGUAAUCCCUGCUGCUUAGGAGGCUGAGGCAGGAGAAUUGUAAGUUUGAGGGCAGCCUGGGCAAUUUAGUGAGACCCUGUCUUUA
Molecule: small RNA, 107 nt
Filed under: Marmota monax (woodchuck)
Lineage: Eukaryota; Metazoa; Chordata; Mammalia; Rodentia; Sciuridae
Source: RNAcentral